This 253-nucleotide ribosomal RNA is filed under the name uncultured bacterium. Its description in RNAcentral is "partial 16S ribosomal RNA". It matches the Rfam family "Bacterial small subunit ribosomal RNA", at positions 524 to 776 of the family's 1533-position model. The record is from RNAcentral.
UACGUAGGUGGCAAGCGUUGUCCGGAUUUACUGGGCGUAAAGAGCGCGCAGGCGGUCGUACAAGUCGCGUGUGAAAGCCCCCGGCUCAACUGGGGAGGGUCACGCGAUACUGUUCGACUCGAAGGCAGGAGAGGGUAGUGGAAUUCCCGGUGUAGUGGUGAAAUGCGUAGGUAUCGGGAGGAACACCUGUGGCGAAAGCGGCGCACUGGACCACAACUGACGCUGAGGCGCGAAAGCUAGGGGAGCAAACAGG